This 60-nucleotide transfer RNA is filed under the name Merluccius polli (Benguela hake). RNAcentral describes it as "tRNA-OTHER". The record is from RNAcentral. Lineage: Eukaryota; Metazoa; Chordata; Actinopteri; Gadiformes; Merlucciidae.
UCCCUGGUGGUCUAGUGGUUAGGAUUCGCCGCGGCCUGGGUUCGAUUCCUGGUCAGGGAA